This 709-nucleotide ribosomal RNA is filed under the name uncultured bacterium. Its description in RNAcentral is "bacterial SSU rRNA". It matches the Rfam family "Bacterial small subunit ribosomal RNA", at positions 57 to 764 of the family's 1533-position model. The record is from RNAcentral.
GCAGUCGAGGGGUAACGGGGUGCUUGCACCGCCGACGACCGGCGCACGGGUGCGUAACGCGUAUACAAUCUACCUUAUAGAGGGGAAUAGCCCAGAGAAAUUUGGAUUAAUGCCCCAUAGUAUUAUUAGAUAGCAUUAUUUGAUAAUUAAACAUUUAUGGCUACAAGAUGAGUAUGUGUUCUAUUAGUUAGUAGGUAAGGUAACGGCUUACCUAGACUUCGAUAGAUAGGGGUCCUGAGAGGGAGAUCCCCCACACUGGUACUGAGACACGGACCAGACUCCUACGGGAGGCAGCAGUGAGGAAUAUUGGACAAUGGGCGAGAGCCUGAUCCAGCCAUGCCGCGUGCAGGAAGACGGCCCUAUGGGUUGUAAACUGCUUUUAUAGAGGAAGAAACAUCCCGACGUGUCGGGACUUGACGGUACUCUACGAAUAAGGAUCGGCUAACUCCGUGCCAGCAGCCGCGGUAAUACGGAGGAUCCAAGCGUUAUCCGGAAUCAUUGGGUUUAAAGGGUCCGUAGGCGGGACAAUCAGUCAGCGGUGAAAGUCUGUGGCUCAACCAUAGAAUUGCCAUUGAUACUGUUGUUCUUGAAUACUUAUGAAGUGGUUGGAAUAUGUAGUGUAGCGGUGAAAUGCAUAGAUAUUACAUAGAACACCGAUUGCGAAGGCAGAUCACUAAUAAGUCAUUGACGCUGAUGGACGAAAGCGUAG